GGCUCCAUUACCUNCUUAGAGUUUGAUCAUGGCUCAGGGUGGCUGGANCACCUCCUUAGAGUUUGAUCAUGGCUCAGGGUGGCUGGNNNACCUCCUUAGUAGCUYGGGMAURUGCUUAUSGUGGGUGGACAACCUCUGUAAACGANCGCUAAUNCCGCAUMAGGUUUACGGACCAWAGGGGSCAUCUUCGGCCUCUCGCCAUUUGAUUAGCCCAAGUGAGAUUAGCUAGUUGGUGAGGUAAUGGCUCACCAAGGCGACGAUCUCUAGCUGGUUUGAGAGGAUGAUCAGCCACACUGGGAYUGAGACACGGCCCAGACUCYUACGGGAGGCASCAGUGGGGAAUAUUGCACAAUGGGCGAAAGCCUGAUGCACCAUGCCGCGUGUGUGAAGAARGCCUUCRGGUUGUAAAGCACUUUCAGUUGUGAGGAAAGGGGAGUAAGUUAAUAGCUGCWUNCUGUGACGNUUACAACAGAAGAAGCCCGGCUAACUUCGUGCCAGCAGCCGCGGUAAUACSANGGGUGCAAGCGUUAAUCSGAAUUACUGGGCGUAAANCGUUCGUANGCCGGUCUAUUAAAGCAAGAUGUGAAAGCCCAGGGCUCAACCUUGGGAACUGCAUUUUGAACUGGG
RNAcentral lists this unclassified non-coding RNA (627 nucleotides) under uncultured bacterium. RNAcentral's name for it is "partial may contain 16S ribosomal RNA and 16S-23S ribosomal RNA intergenic spacer". It matches the Rfam family "Bacterial small subunit ribosomal RNA", at positions 1 to 637 of the family's 1533-position model. The record is from RNAcentral.